UGUAUAAUGGGUCAGCGACUUAUAUUCUGUAGCAAGGUUAACCGAAUAGGGGAGCCGAAGGGAAACCGAGUCUUAACUGGGCGUUAAGUUGCAGGGUAUAGACCCGAAACCCGGUGAUCUAGCCAUGGGCAGGUUGAAGGUUGGGUAACACUAACUGGAGGACCGAACCGACUAAUGUUGAAAAAUUAGCGGAUGACUUGUGGCUGGGGGUGAAAGGCCAAUCAAACCGGGAGAUAGCUGGUUCUCCCCGAAAGCUAUUUAGGUAGCGCCUCGUGAACUCAUCUCCGGGGGUAGAGCACUGUUUCGGCAAGGGGGUCAUCCCGACUUACCAACCCGAUGCAAACUGCGAAUACCGGAGAAUGUUAUCACGGGAGACACACGGCGGGUGCUAACGUCCGUCGUGAAGAGGGAAACAACCCAGACCGCCAGCUAAGGUCCCAAAGUCAUGGUUAAGUGGGAAACGAUGUGGGAAGGCCCAGACAGCCAGGAUGUUGGCUUAGAAGCAGCCAUCAUUUAAAGAAAGCGUAAUAGCUCACUGGUCGAGUCGGCCUGCGCGGAAGAUGUAACGGGGCUAAACCAUGCACCGAAGCUGCGGCAGCGACGCUUAUGCGUUGUUGGGUAGGGGAGCGUUCUGUAAGCCUGUGAAGGUGUACUGUGAGGUAUGCUGGAGGUAUCAGAAGUGCGAAUGCUGACAUAAGUAACGAUAAAGCGGGUGAAAAGCCCGCUCGCCGGAAGACCAAGGGUUCCUGUCCAACGUUAAUCGGGGCAGGGUGAGUCGACCCCUAAGGCGAGGCCGAAAGGCGUAGUCGAUGGGAAACAGGUUAAUAUUCCUGUACUUGGUGUUACUGCGAAGGGGGGACGGAGAAGGCUAUGUUGGCCGGGCGACGGUUGUCCCGGUUUAAGCGUGUAGGCUGGUUUUCCAGGCAAAUCCGGAAAAUCAAGGCUGAGGCGUGAU
This 955-nucleotide ribosomal RNA is filed under the name Escherichia coli. Its description in RNAcentral is "partial 23S ribosomal RNA". It matches the Rfam family "Bacterial large subunit ribosomal RNA", at positions 609 to 1567 of the family's 2925-position model. The record is from RNAcentral. Lineage: Bacteria; Pseudomonadati; Pseudomonadota; Gammaproteobacteria; Enterobacterales; Enterobacteriaceae.